This 76-nucleotide transfer RNA is filed under the name Clostridium omnivorum. RNAcentral's name for it is "tRNA-Lys". It matches the Rfam family "tRNA". Rfam says of the family: Transfer RNA (tRNA) molecules are approximately 80 nucleotides in length. The record is from RNAcentral. Lineage: Bacteria; Bacillati; Bacillota; Clostridia; Eubacteriales; Clostridiaceae.
UGCGCUAUUAGCUCAGUUGGUAGAGCAACUGACUCUUAAUCAGUGGGUCCCGGGUUCGAAUCCCUGAUGGCGCAUC